ACGCUAUCACUCCUACGGGAGGCAGCAGUGGGAAUAUUGCACAAUGGGGGAACCUGAUGCAGCAUGCCGCGUGUGUGAAGAAGGCCUUCGGGUUUGUAAAGCACUUUCGUAGGGAGGAAGGUAGUGUAGUUAACACCUGCAUUAUUUGACGUUACCUACAGAAGAAGCACCGGCUAACUCCGUGCCAGCAGCCGCGGUAAUACGGAGGGUGCGAGCGUUAAUCGGAAUUACUGGGCGUAAAGCGCAUGCAGGCGGCCUGUUAAGUCAGAUGUGAAAGCCCGGGGCUUAACCUCGGAAUUGCAUUUGAAACUGGCAGGCUAGAGUCUUGUAGAGGGGGUAGAAUUUCAGGUGUAGCGGUGAAAUGCGUAGAGAUCUGAAGGAAUACCAGUGGCGAAGGCGGCCCCCUAGACAAAGACUGACGCUCAGAUGCGAAAGCGUGGGGAGCAAACAGGAUUAGAUACCCUGGUAG
Molecule: ribosomal RNA, 469 nt
Filed under: uncultured bacterium
Lineage: Bacteria
Description: bacterial SSU rRNA
Rfam family: Bacterial small subunit ribosomal RNA
Source: RNAcentral